RNAcentral lists this long non-coding RNA (276 nucleotides) under Carica papaya (papaya). RNAcentral's name for it is "long non-coding RNA (CPAP_LNC002528)". The record is from RNAcentral. Lineage: Eukaryota; Viridiplantae; Streptophyta; Magnoliopsida; Brassicales; Caricaceae.
CAUGGAUGCCGAAGACGAUGGAAAAAGAAGAGGUGAGUACGAGAUGCUGGUGCGAGAAGAGAUAGAAGAUGACGAUGUGUGCUCUGUCUUCUCUACAAAAGAAGAUUUCAAGAAUGAAGGUAAAUUUUUUUCUGAGGCCAGAUAGGUCAAGGACUUCAGGCAACUUGAGUUGGUGUCGGUUGAGGAAGAUACCCUGGUACAUAAUCAUCAAUACAACCAGGAAAUAGAAGAGAUCCUUCAUAUCAGCCUCGAAGAUGUUAAUGUGGUGGAACGGAU